This 429-nucleotide ribosomal RNA is filed under the name Fusobacteriota bacterium. RNAcentral's name for it is "Fusobacteria bacterium partial 16S ribosomal RNA". It matches the Rfam family "Bacterial small subunit ribosomal RNA", at positions 355 to 776 of the family's 1533-position model. The record is from RNAcentral. Lineage: Bacteria; Fusobacteriati; Fusobacteriota.
UGGGGAAUCUUCCGCAAUGGACGAAAGUCUGACGGAGCAACGCCGCGUGAGUGAAGACGGCCUUCGGGUUGUAAAGCUCUGUUAUUCGGGAAGAACGAUUCGUUUGUGAACAAUGAACGGAAGUGACGGUACCGAAAGAGAAAGCCACGGCUAACUACGUGCCAGCAGCCGCGGUAAUACGUAGGUGGCAAGCGUUGUCCGGAAUUAUUGGGCGUAAAGAGCGUGUAGGCGGUAUGGUAAGUCUGUCUUAGAAGUGCGGGGCUUAACCCCGUGAGGGGACAGAGACUGUCAUACUGGAGUCUCGGAGAGGAAAGCGGAAUUCCUAGUGUAGCGGUGAAAUGCGUAGAGAUUAGGAAGAACACCGGUGGCGAAGGCGGCUUUCUGGACGAGCACUGACGCUGAGGCGCGAAAGCGUGGGGAGCGAACAGG